Scylla paramamosain (green mud crab) is the source of this 1514-nucleotide long non-coding RNA. RefSeq lists it as uncharacterized. Lineage: Eukaryota; Metazoa; Arthropoda; Malacostraca; Decapoda; Portunidae. The record is from RefSeq and is a predicted model, not a curated record. The transcript has 3 exons.
GAUACCUUCGUUGCUUUUCAAUUAUAUAUGUUCUCAUUAAUUCUUAUAUUCUUUUUUUUUUUUUUUAUGUAUUCAUUUACUUUUUUUUUUCAAUGAUGGCAUUGAGCUAUGCUUAUUAAGGGGUAUUUCUCAACAUAACUGAUUGGCUGUCAACCUAUAACAAGCAUAUCGUAGUAUUUAAAGAGAUCAUUUCAACUGGAGCCUUUUGAGGGUGUGGGGACUGGUAGUUAUGAGGGGGGGAUAAAGAGAGUGGGAGGGAGAGAGGGAAAGAGAGAAAGACAAAGACAGGGUGGUACGCGGCCUAACGGAUCCCUCCAUUUCAUUUCAAACCGGCGAGCGGGCAGGUGUGGAGUGUUGCCGCAGGUGUGGACUGCUGGCGAUCUGCGUGACAAAGGAAGGUUUGGAUUGAGUUGUCUUGAAGCUGAGAUGAGUUGGUCGGCUAAUGAGUGGCUUGCAUCAAGUGACCGUGAGGUGUUGGACGUGGUAUCGUGUUAUUGCAAGUGUAACCAGUAAUAAUGAUCCUGUGAUGCUUCUGAAGAGACAGAGGGACAUGAUGGCAAGUCUUGGUGGGAGUCCUGGCAUUGAAUGGCCUGAGGAAAGUCUUGCCAAGCUUUGCUGCCUCCUCUACACUGGCCAGCCCUACCCACAGGUCACUUAGUGUUUGCAUGUAGUACUUCCUAUUUUGUAUAGAAAACUAACCUAUAAACCACAAUUGAUUUACUGACUACCUAACCAUAUUAUGUUCAACUCAUCUAAAAAUAGCAUCAUUAAACACUUAAAAAAAAAAGUGACUUAAUUAUACGCUUCUAAAUAAAUUAUCCACCUUAGCACAUCUCCUAAAGACAGCAUAAUCAUACACACUUCUAGAAAUUAAACUGAAUGGGUAAAUUUCCUAUACUUUUUUUUUUUAACUUCACUCCUACUGUGAGGAAAGGAACCUACUUUGUUGGUCAUUUAUACUGCACUGUUGUUGAAGUAUGUGAGUGCUCUUGUUAAUACUACACUGCUGUGACUACUGUUAUCACAACCACCACUACACCCUGCUACAGACAUUUUCUCCUUCAGUCCCUCAAUCUGAAGUGGUGCGUGGCCUCAUCCACUCCUUACACUGUGUUGAUAAGGUUAUUGCUACUGUUGCUGCUACUACUACAACUAUUACCACUACACCCUGCUACAGAUAACAACACACCACUCACUGGAAUGGAAGGUUCAAACACACAGGGAGACAGACUGUGGCUUGUAUCAUGUUAGCACAGCCCACAUCUACAGUAGUGAUCCUUCCAGACCUGUCCUGUGUGUGCCUCAAUGAGAAGUGUUCCUUCCCUUGGUGCUCUUAACCUUGUGAGGUUUAGGAAAAAGUGCACAGUAAGAAUGAGACACUUUAUGAAAAUGUGGAGUACAGCAGACGAUUCAUACAUUUUGGUCAGUGCAGCAAUACAAGUGGGAAUGUAUAGCAGCAGCACAGUGCAGCAGAUGAGCAGCACACACUCUCAUGCUGCCCUCAGCAGUGAGUG